This is a long non-coding RNA of Cyprinus carpio (common carp), 413 nucleotides long. RefSeq lists it as uncharacterized. The record is from RefSeq and is a predicted model, not a curated record. The transcript has 2 exons. NCBI's taxonomy places the organism in Eukaryota, Metazoa, Chordata, Actinopteri, Cypriniformes, Cyprinidae.
AGACGUGACAGAUGAAGAGAGUGAAGUGAAGGGAUUCCUGCAGUGUCUGCCCUACAUCUCACAGCUGAGGUGAGAGUCUUAUAGGAUAAAGACCACCCUUGGUUAUUGUAUUCAGUGCUUACAAUAAAUUUAAUCUAUUUAACUUAAAUAUUUUAUUAAACAAUAUGUAUGUGAACAUGAACCAGAAUUGAACUGCAUAUAAUCACAAAAAACACUAAACUGACGUGUAGUUUUUUCGUCAGCAAUAUUAUGUUGUUGAAAUCCUGCUCUCACCCUCAUUCAGCCAUUUUUCUGCUGUGAGAGUGAUUGUAAUCAAAUGUUUCUAUUGUAACAGCUUCAUUCAGCACACAAUUUGUUUACAUGUGCAGUUAUGAUGAAGCUACAGUGCAUAAAGCUACAAGCUACAAUCUUCA